AUGCUGGCUGGGUGUGGGGGAUGGAGAGGCUUUGGCUGUCAAGUAAGCCAGCAAGGUCCCAAAACAACCCCAAGUACCAUAAAUCCUCACCACGCACUCCUGGGACUCCUUCUGGGAGGGAUUGGGCAUUUCUUCUACCCCCAGAGAGCUGGCUGGAGCUGUGGGUCUGCCGUGGGACAGUCAGCCAGGCCAGCAGGGGGAUUUCAGUUGGGUAAAUCCCCAAAAUGUGCAAGAAAAUGUAAACACUCUGGUUUAAUUCCUGGUGACAUACACUGCUUUUACCUUUUAGCCAUCUGCCCAAGCUCUUCUCCUUUCUUGAUGGUAUUUAUCCCAGCUAAAAAUGGAAAAUGUACCCCAAGGAGCAAAGCCAGCUGUCAGCCUGGUGCCCACACCCCUGUGUCCCUUCCCUGGCAGACGCCAAUGGCCAUGGUAGGAAGGUGCGGCAUCGAACACCAAAAUCUUGAAUUUUCCACCCAGUUGGUGCCCACCCUCAGGGCACAGCCACAUGCCCGUGGCAUGGAGCUGGGGCCAGUGGAGCCAGCGCUCCUGCGGUGCCGGCUCCAUCCCAUCCCACGCACACCAGGUUCACCAGGGCACCAGCAGGGUCAGGAACCCUUUUUCCUUUUCCACGAGUUUUUGCCAUUGAGUGGCAAAAAAAUUGCUGGUGGAAAAUCAGCACACUGCCUUCUGCAAAGAGCAGCCCAUUCAGUAACACUCCGACAUGCUGAAGUGGGACGGGAGGCAAGGAGUAAAUACACCACUUGUAUGCACGUGCCGGUGGAGCCUGUGUCGCACGGUCCCCAAAAGCCCCCCUCCAGCCACAUCCCUGCCCCAACACCCCAUCCCCUUCUGGCAGCCUCCAGCUCUGCCCAGGCUGGGGAUCACCCACUCUGGGUAUGGGGCCUCGGGGUGCUCUUGGGGCAGCACCGGGGAACGGGGCUGGGGACCCAGCACCUGGGCUGGAGCCAUGCCCCUCUCGCUGGCAUGCUCGGGGCCUCUGGCCAGCACUUGCUGAACAGCUGA
RNAcentral lists this long non-coding RNA (1023 nucleotides) under Anas platyrhynchos platyrhynchos (common mallard). RNAcentral describes it as "lncRNA (ENSAPLG00000030538.1)". The record is from RNAcentral. Lineage: Eukaryota; Metazoa; Chordata; Aves; Anseriformes; Anatidae.